This 801-nucleotide ribosomal RNA is filed under the name uncultured bacterium. RNAcentral's name for it is "bacterial SSU rRNA". It matches the Rfam family "Bacterial small subunit ribosomal RNA", at positions 68 to 843 of the family's 1533-position model. The record is from RNAcentral.
GAGAAGCUCCCUUCGGGGGGUGAGUACAGUGGCAGACGGGUGAGUAACACGUGGGCAACCUACCCCGAGGUGGGGGAUAACUCUCCGAAAGGAGGGCUAAUACCGCAUAACAUCCCGAGAUCGAUGGAUCACGGGAUCAAAGCAGGCCUCUUCUUGAAAGCUUGCGCCAUGGGAUGGGCCCGUGCCCCAUUAGCUUGUUGGUGAGGUAACGGCUCACCAAGGCCGCGAUGGGUAGCCGGCCUGAGAGGGCGAUCGGCCACACUGGAACUGAGACACGGUCCAGACUCCUACGGGAGGCAGCAGUGAGGAAUUUUGCGCAAUGGGCGAAAGCCUGACGCAGCGACGCCGCGUGGAGGAAGAAGGCCUUCGGGUCGUAAACUCCUGUCAGGAGGGACGAAUGUCGGGCGGCUGAAUAAGCCGGUCGGUUGACGGUACCUCUGGAGGAAGCCCCGGCUAACUCCGUGCCAGCAGCCGCGGUAAUACGGAGGGGGCCAGCGUUGUUCGGAAUUAUUGGGCGUAAAGGGCGCGUAGGCGGCUCUUCAAGUCAAAGGUGAAAUCCCUCGGCUCAACCGGGGAACUGCCUUUGAUACUGUCGAGCUUGAGUCCCGGAGAGGGUAGCGGAAUUCCGAGUGUAGCGGUGAAAUGCGUAGAUACUCGGAGGAACACCCGUGGCGAAGGCGGCUACCUGGACGGGUACUGACGCUGAGGCGCGAAAGCUAGGGGAGCAAACAGGAUUAGAUACCCUGGUAGUCCUAGCUGUAAACGAUGAGCACUUGGUGUUGCGGGUAUCGACCCCUGCAG